Molecule: ribosomal RNA, 460 nt
Filed under: uncultured bacterium
Lineage: Bacteria
Description: partial 16S ribosomal RNA
Rfam family: Bacterial small subunit ribosomal RNA
Source: RNAcentral
CCUACGUGUGGCAGCAGUGAGGAAUAUUGGUCAAUGGGCGCGAGCCUGAACCAGCCAAGUAGCGUGAAGGAUGACUGCCCUACGGGUUGUAAACUUCUUUUAUAAAGGAAUAAAGUGAGGCACGUGUGCCUUUUUGUAUGUACUUUAUGAAUAAGGAUCGGCUAACUCCGUGCCAGCAGCCGCGGUAAUACGGAGGAUCCGAGCGUUAUCCGGAUUUAUUGGGUUUAAAGGGAGCGUAGAUGGGUUGUUAAGUCAGUUGUGAAAGUUUGCGGCUCAACCGGAAAAUUGCAAUUGAUACUGGCAGUCUUGAGUACAGUUGAGGUAGGCGGAAUGCGUGGUGUAGCGGUGAAAUGCUUAGAUAUCACGCAGAACUCCGAUUGCGAAGGCAGCUUACUAAUCUGCCUCUGACAUUGAUGCUCGAAAGUGUGGGUAUCAAACAGGAUUAGAUACCCCAGUAGUC